Molecule: ribosomal RNA, 253 nt
Filed under: uncultured bacterium
Lineage: Bacteria
Description: partial 16S ribosomal RNA
Rfam family: Bacterial small subunit ribosomal RNA
Source: RNAcentral
UACGUAGGGUGCAAGCGUUAAUCGGAAUUACUGGGCGUAAAGCGUGCGCAGGCGGUUUUGUAAGUCUGAUGUGAAAUCCCCGAACUCAACCUGGGAAUUGCAUUGGAGACUGCAAGGCUAGAAUCUGGCAGAGGGGGGUAGAAUUCCACGUGUAGCAGUGAAAUGCGUAGAGAUGUGGAGGAACACCGAUGGCGAAGGCAGCCCCCUGGGUCAAGAUUGACGCUCAUGCACGAAAGCGUGGGGAGCAAACAGG